GGGGAUUUGGCUCAGUUGGUAGAGUGCUUGCCUUGCAUGCACAAGGCCUGGGUUCAAUCCCCAGCAUUACAA
Molecule: transfer RNA, 72 nt
Filed under: Ictidomys tridecemlineatus (thirteen-lined ground squirrel)
Lineage: Eukaryota; Metazoa; Chordata; Mammalia; Rodentia; Sciuridae
Description: Spermophilus tridecemlineatus (thirteen-lined ground squirrel) tRNA
Rfam family: tRNA
About the family: Transfer RNA (tRNA) molecules are approximately 80 nucleotides in length. Their secondary structure includes four short double-helical elements and three loops (D, anti-codon, and T loops).
Source: Rfam by way of RNAcentral